GCCAAAAAUAUAAAAUCCAAAAGUGUCACAACAAAUGUCAAAUACAAUAAACGGUGGUAUUUAAGAAGAAAAAUAAAUCUAAAAAUGAGUCACAUUUGAAAUAACAUUUUGUUUAUAUAAAUGGCCUCACUCCCAUCAAUCGGUUUCUUUCUCUCUUUAUUUCAUCCUCUUUGUUUACUUUUGAAGAAUGUUCAA
Molecule: small nuclear RNA, 195 nt
Organism: Arabidopsis thaliana (thale cress)
Lineage: Eukaryota; Viridiplantae; Streptophyta; Magnoliopsida; Brassicales; Brassicaceae
Source: RefSeq